CAUGCCUUACACAUGCAAGUCGAACGGUAACAGGGAGCUUGCUCCGCUGACGAGUGGCGAACGGGUGAGUAAUAUAUCGGAACGUACCUUUGAGUGGGGGAUAACUAGUCGAAAGAUUAGCUAAUACCGCAUACGAUCUACGGAUGAAAGUGGGGGCUCGCAAGACCUCAUGCUCAUAGAGCGGCCGAUAUCUGAUUAGCUAGUUGGUGAGGUAAAGGCUCACCAAGGCAUCGAUCAGUAGCUGGUCUGAGAGGACGACCAGCCACACUGGGACUGAGACACGGCCCAGACUCCUACGGGAGGCAGCAGUGGGGAAUUUUGGACAAUGGGGGCAACCCUGAUCCAGCAAUGCCGCGUGAGUGAAGAAGGCCUUCGGGUUGUAAAGCUCUUUUGUCAGGGAAGAAACGGUGAGGGCUAAUAUCCCUUGCUAAUGACGGUACCUGAAGAAUAAGCACCGGCUAACUACGUGCCAGCAGCCGCGGUAAUACGUAGGGUGCAAGCGUUAAUCGGAAUUACUGGGCGUAAAGCGUGCGCAGGCGGUUGUGUAAGACAGGUGUGAAAUCCCCGGGCUUAACCUGGGAAUGGCAUUUGUGACUGCACGGCUAGAGUGUGUCAGAGGGGGGUAGAAUUCCACGUGUAGCAGUGAAAUGCGUAGAGAUGUGGAGGAAUACCGAUGGCGAAGGCAGCCCCCUGGGAUAACACUGACGCUCAUGCACGAAAGCGUGGGGAGCAA
This 733-nucleotide ribosomal RNA is filed under the name arctic soil bacterium M1J3. Its description in RNAcentral is "bacterial SSU rRNA". It matches the Rfam family "Bacterial small subunit ribosomal RNA", at positions 43 to 771 of the family's 1533-position model. The record is from RNAcentral.